Molecule: unclassified non-coding RNA, 223 nt
Filed under: Hevea brasiliensis (rubber tree)
Lineage: Eukaryota; Viridiplantae; Streptophyta; Magnoliopsida; Malpighiales; Euphorbiaceae
Source: RNAcentral
GUUUAAUUUAUUAAACAUGGCAACUUGCUGCAGUGUUUUAAAUAUUUUUACCAUUCAAUUUUUUGACAUAAAAUUUGUAUUUUUCUCUGGCAAAACUCCGGGGAAGUACUCAUUAUUUUGUGGGAUUUUUUACAUACAAAAGUAAACUAUUUAUAUCCUUUGAAACCGGCUCCUAUACAAUCUGGUUCAAUAAUAGGAUUCUCUUGUGAGGACUAUAAAUGUU